CGUUCCCCGUACGGGCCACCA
Molecule: unclassified non-coding RNA, 21 nt
Filed under: Mus musculus (house mouse)
Lineage: Eukaryota; Metazoa; Chordata; Mammalia; Rodentia; Muridae
Description: oocyte_clustered_small_RNA8947
Source: RNAcentral